CCUACGGGGGGCAGCAGUGGGGAAUAUUGCACAAUGGGCGCAAGCCUGAUGCAGCCAUGCCGCGUGUAUGAAGAAGGCCUUCGGGUUGUAAAGUACUUUCAGCGGGGAGGAAGGUGUUGAGGUUAAUAACCUCAGCAAUUGACGUUACCCACAGAAGAAGCACCGGCUAACUCCGUGCCAGCAGCCGCGGUAAUACGUAGGGUGCAAGCGUUAAUCGGAAUUACUGGACGUAAAGCGCACGCAGGCGGUCUGUCAAGUCGGAUGUGAAAUCCCCGGGCUCAACCUGGGAACUGCAUUCGAAACUGGCAGGCUAGAGUCUUGUAGAGGGGGGUAGAAUUCCAGGUGUAGCGGUGAAAUGCGUAGAGAUCUGGAGGUAUACCGGUGGCGAAGGCGGCCCCCUGGACAAAGACUGACGCUCAGGUGCGAAAGCGUGGGGAGCAAACAGGAUUAGAUACCCUCGUAGUC
This 465-nucleotide ribosomal RNA is filed under the name uncultured bacterium. Its description in RNAcentral is "bacterial SSU rRNA". It matches the Rfam family "Bacterial small subunit ribosomal RNA", at positions 338 to 795 of the family's 1533-position model. The record is from RNAcentral.